UAUAAGUGUACCAAUAUAUAAACAAUAAUAGCAAUAACAAUAUGUAGCAACAUAAAAAUCCGGUUUUAACAAAGUUAGGAAAAAAGUGACUUUUUUUUUAAACAUCAUGGUACAAUGGUUAGAGAGCUAGACUCCACAUUCAAUGAUCUCGAAAAAGCUGGUACGAUUGUAAUCAUUAAUUAAUUAUUGGUAAAAAAGAUGGCUGGAAAUAAAAUGUUAUACGUUCUUGAUGACGCUAUUUUGAGAAAUAACCUCUCUGUUCCUUGGAUUCCUUGAAGAAAAUAAAGAUAACUGGUUUUAGAAUUGCUGUAUUUUGAGAUUUAAACGUUUUAUAAAUACCACAGGAGGAGGAUGAGAGACUUGCGAGAGAAGAAAUUUCAAAACGCAAGGAGUUAUAAUAUCUUAGCUACGCUAUUAUAAUUCCUUGCAAAACGCGAAAGCUAAACUAAAAAGAUGUGAACUAUGAAAGACACUUUACGAAUUUUGAAAAUUGCCUUGGUAUUUUUAUUGGAUAAGAAUUAAAACAAGAACGGAAAACAAAACAAUUAUCAAUUAUCCUUAAUU
Hydra vulgaris (swiftwater hydra) is the source of this 564-nucleotide non-coding RNA. The record is from RefSeq and is a predicted model, not a curated record. Lineage: Eukaryota; Metazoa; Cnidaria; Hydrozoa; Anthoathecata; Hydridae.